This 73-nucleotide transfer RNA is filed under the name Camelus dromedarius (Arabian camel). It matches the Rfam family "tRNA". From Rfam's summary of the family: Transfer RNA (tRNA) molecules are approximately 80 nucleotides in length. Their secondary structure includes four short double-helical elements and three loops (D, anti-codon, and T loops). RNAcentral also lists the same sequence under 1 other name. Lineage: Eukaryota; Metazoa; Chordata; Mammalia; Artiodactyla; Camelidae. The record is from Rfam by way of RNAcentral.
GAGGGUAUAGCUCAAGUGGUAGAGAGCAUGCUUAGCAUGCACGAGGUCCUGGGUUCAAUCCCCAGCACCUCCU